GCUGGGCGUGGUGGCGUACACCUGUAGUCCCAGCUUCUCAGGAGGCUGAGGCAGGAGGAUCGCUUGAGCCCGGGAAUUUGAGGCUGCAGUGAGCCAUGAUCUCACCACUGCACUCCAGCCUGGGCGACAGCGCCAGACCCUGUCUCAA
Pongo abelii (Sumatran orangutan) is the source of this 148-nucleotide unclassified non-coding RNA. It matches the Rfam family "Metazoan signal recognition particle RNA". Rfam says of the family: The signal recognition particle (SRP) is a universally conserved ribonucleoprotein. The record is from Ensembl. NCBI's taxonomy places the organism in Eukaryota, Metazoa, Chordata, Mammalia, Primates, Hominidae.